This 756-nucleotide ribosomal RNA is filed under the name uncultured archaeon. RNAcentral's name for it is "bacterial SSU rRNA". It matches the Rfam family "Archaeal small subunit ribosomal RNA", at positions 102 to 859 of the family's 1478-position model. The record is from RNAcentral.
GGAUAACCUGCCCUUAGGUCUGGCAUAACCCCGGGAAACUGGGGAUAAUUCCGGAUAGAUCAUCGAUGCUGGAAUGCGCUUUGAUCCAAAGCUAUUGUGCCUAAGGAUGGGUCUGCGGUCUAUCAGGUCGUAGUGGGUGUAAUGUACCUACUAGCCUACGACGGAUACGGGUUGUGGGAGCAAGAGCCCGGAGAUGGAUUCUGAGACAUGAAUCCAGGCCCUACGGGGCGCAGCAGGCGCGAAAACUUUACAAUGCGGGGAACCGCGAUAAGGGGACACCGAGUGCCAGCAUCCUAUGUUGGCUGUCCAUAUGUCUAAAUCACAUGUGUUAGCAAGGGCCGGGCAAGACCGGUGCCAGCCGCCGCGGUAACACCGGCGGCCCGAGUGGUGGCCACUAUUAUUGGGUCUAAAGGGUCCGUAGCCGGUUUGGUCAGUCUUCCGGGAAAUCUGACGGCUCAACCGUUAGGCUUUCGGGGGAUACUACCAGGCUUGGGACCGGGAGAGGUAAGAGGUACUACGGGGGUAGGAGUGAAAUCUUGUAAUCCCUGUGGGACCACCAGUGGCGAAGGCGUCUUACCAGAACGGGUCCGACGGUGAGGGACGAAAGCUGGGGGCACGAACCGGAUUAGAUACCCGGGUAGUCCCAGCUGUAAACUAUGCUCGCUAGGUGUCAGGGACGGUGCGACCGUUUCUGGUGCCGCAGGGAAGCCGUGAAGCGAGCCACCUGGGAAGUACGGUCGCAAGGCUGAAACUUAA